This 651-nucleotide long non-coding RNA is filed under the name Nicotiana benthamiana. RNAcentral describes it as "long non-coding RNA (NBEN_LNC008151)". Lineage: Eukaryota; Viridiplantae; Streptophyta; Magnoliopsida; Solanales; Solanaceae. The record is from RNAcentral.
GUAUCUAAGACUCUUUCUCGUGUCUGUUUACUUUUCUCCUCCCGUAUCUGUUGUCUUCCGUACCUCUUAAUCAUUUAUUACUAUUUGACCAGCCACGUUUUAUGCCACAUCAUCUUUAAUUCAAAUUCAGUUUUUUCCCAAUACAGAUAGUCUCCCAACUUCCCAUUUAUUUAUCAAUUAAAUAAUUGGGAAGUGGAUUUUCAUAAAAGAUAAUUUUUAUCACAAUUAAUGUAUGUGACAGUGUUGACGUCUCAUCUGUCUUUCUCAUUUAAUAUUCCAUACACGUGUCAUCUUCUGAUUGGAUCUGCAGUUUUUUUACCCACUUUUCUAGGCUUAUUCAUCUUCUUCUUUUCACGAAGUGAUAGUUAUCUUUAAUAUAUGCUUUCCAUCAUUACACCCCUUAAUUUGACGGUUGCUUCCAUAUUCACACUUUCUUUGUCAUCUUCUUCAUCAAGCACCAUUCACUUUCUUUUACUUCUCUUUACUUUAAACUCGUCCAACAAUGGCAUCUCCAAACCCUAACCGCAGAAAGGGUCUAGUUCUUCAUCAAUUUCCUAAUGACCCUGCUCCGAUUAGACAUACAAGAGGCAGAGGAGGAAGACUUAGAAGUUCAGGAUCUACACGUGGGGGUUUGACUGGUUCAACUCCUCC